Long non-coding RNA from Odocoileus virginianus texanus, 1108 nucleotides. RefSeq lists it as uncharacterized. The record is from RefSeq and is a predicted model, not a curated record. Lineage: Eukaryota; Metazoa; Chordata; Mammalia; Artiodactyla; Cervidae.
UUCUGCGGUUCCUACCUUGGCAGGCGGGUUCUCUACCACUAGCACCACCUGGAAAGCCCACUUGCUGUAGGUACUGACAAAGGGAGCAGGGCCAAGACCUCUGGCCCAACAAAGUUGAGCAAGACUUGACAGCCCUCCCACAGAGGUACACUCAUUUCCUUUCCUCAGUGGAGCGUCCGUUGUGCCAACGUGAUCCCUCCCCGCCCCCACCCGUUGGUUUGAAGGGUGUCUUAUCUAUGUGGCAGAAACGCACAUUUUGGAGUUUACCACUAGAAAUACUAUUUAAACCGCAGAGGAGUAAGUUUAAGUGGAGAUCAGAAGACCCUGGAGUUCUCUGAAACUGAAGUGCAGGAAAAGAUGCUGGCUGCUGUGGACUGAAGCAGGAGGCCUGAACCAAUAAUAAGCCUGUGAUGAAAAACUUUGAGCAGAGAAGAUGCUGAGCACCCUGUCACUGGAGCUGGAGCUGACUGAUACACUGAGAUCUGGAGCAGAAGAAAAUCUGGAACUUCUGUAGGGAUAAUUUGUGUUCUAGGAUAGUAAGAAAGAGAACAAGUGUAACAGAAACAAUAUUCAAAGAGGAACUAGAAGAAAACAUCCCCAAAGUGAAGAGAGAUAGUCAAAUGGGGUUAUCAAGUGAAUUUAAUGGGGAUACAAAAAACUAAUAGUGAGACAGAUGCUCUGAUGAAGCCACUAUAUUUCACAGAUAAGGAAUAACUCUGAUGAAAAUUCAGGCAGAAAAAACAGGUUGUCCUCAAAGGAAAUAAAAAUCAAAUGGCUCUAGCUUUUCAACUCUGGCAUUAGAUUCUAGAAUAAAAUGAAACAAUGAAGACAAUCAAAGGAAAAAGAAUGAGAUCCAAAAUUUCAUGCCCAAAGUUGAUAUGUGACUCCAACAGGCAAGGAUUCACUAAGUAUUUCAUAUAUUCUUCUUGUGGGAAAGGGAGUGGCAAGGAGAUACCUGAAGAUGUGCUUCAGUCAACUAAGACAUGAAUAAAAACAACUCAUGAGGAAAGUACCUAACAUUGUGGAAAGGAAAGUUGUAUGGUGGGUUCCCAGGUGGUGCUAGUGAUAAAGAAUCCACCUGUCAAUGCAGGAGAUGCCAGAGAUGUGG